This 528-nucleotide ribosomal RNA is filed under the name Curvularia graminicola. RNAcentral's name for it is "eukaryotic LSU rRNA". The stretch from base 181 to 334 matches the Rfam family "5.8S ribosomal RNA". Lineage: Eukaryota; Fungi; Ascomycota; Dothideomycetes; Pleosporales; Pleosporaceae. The record is from RNAcentral.
GAGGCUGCACGCGGGCUGUGCCUCUCGGGGCCGGCUUCUGCCGAGGCUGAAUUAUUUUUCACCCAUGUCUUUUGCGCACUUGUUGUUUCCUGGGCGGGUUCGCCCGCCACCAGGACCACACCAUAAACCUUUUUUAUGCAGUUGCAAUCAGCGUCAGUAUAACAAAUGUUAAUCAUUUACAACUUUCAACAACGGAUCUCUUGGUUCUGGCAUCGAUGAAGAACGCAGCGAAAUGCGAUACGUAGUGUGAAUUGCAGAAUUCAGUGAAUCAUCGAAUCUUUGAACGCACAUUGCGCCCUUUGGUAUUCCAAAGGGCAUGCCUGUUCGAGCGUCAUUUGUACCCUCAAGCUUUGCUUGGUGUUGGGCGUCUUUUGUCUUUGGCCUUUUGCCCAAAGACUCGCCUUAAAACGAUUGGCAGCCGGCCUACUGGUUUCGGAGCGCAGCACAUUUUUGCGCUUGCAAUCAGCAAAAGAGGCCAGCAAUCCAUCAAGACUACUUCUCACUUUUGACCUCGGAUCAGGUAGGGAU